CUUCAACAGUGAAGUGGUGCUAGGUAACCUAGUGCUUACACAGUGCAACUAAGACCAUGCCCAAACCAUGACCACAAAAGGCUCCCUGGAUUAUCCCGGGCUUGAGAAAGGACGUAGCAGUGUACUAAACAGCUGUCACACUGAUUGCAGCUCCCCUGCCCGCAUGCUGUACAUCCCCGCUGCUAUCAUUUGUACCCACCAAAGAAAAUUAAGUUACAGUUGUACUACAAUGGGACUCUGAAAUACCUCAUGGAUUUAUGGGAUGGACUUACCAGAAUGUGACCUUGAGCUGUAUAAAUAUUUGGAAAGGAUGAAUAUGAACCUUUGAGUAUACAGAACUUUGCCAAAUGAAACUGAAAACAACUCAGACAGAGCCCUUAUUGUCCUUGUCACUUUACAAUAGAUUCUGCUGCACUAAUAAACUCUUCUUUCCUGAUGCCUACCUAAUACACAAUUAUAUAACAGCUUACAUCUGAAACCUAACCAGGGGUAGAGACAUAGGCGUUGUGUUGUAGAAACUGUGAUAUUAAAGAAUCAGGUGGA
Long non-coding RNA from Hyla sarda, 543 nucleotides. RefSeq lists it as uncharacterized. NCBI's taxonomy places the organism in Eukaryota, Metazoa, Chordata, Amphibia, Anura, Hylidae. The transcript is spliced from 3 exons. The record is from RefSeq and is a predicted model, not a curated record.